GAAAGAUUCAUCGGAAGAGGAUGGGCAUGCGGCGCAUUAGCUAGACGGCGGGGUAACGGCCCACCGUGGCGACGAUGCGUAGGGGCUCUGAGAGGAAGGUCCCCCACACUGGUACUGAGACACGGACCAGACUCCUACGGGAGGCAGCAGUGAGGAAUAUUGGUCAAUGGGAGAGAUCCUGAACCAGCCAAGCCGCGUGAGGGAAGACGGCCCUAUGGGUUGUAAACCUCUUUUGUCGGAGAACAAAACCCGGGACGAGUCCCGGACUGCGUGUAUCCGAAGAAAAAGCAUCGGCUAACUCCGUGCCAGCAGCCGCGGUAAUACGGAGGAUGCGAGCGUUAUCCGGAUUUAUUGGGUUUAAAGGGUGCGUAGGCGGUCUGUUAAGUCAGCGGUAAAAUUGCGGGGCUCAACCCCGUCGAGCCGUUGAAACUGGCAGACUUGAGUUGGCGAGAAGUACGCGGAAUGCGCGGUGUAGCGGUGAAAUGCAUAGAUAUCGCGCAGAACUCCGAUUGCGAAGGCAGCGUACCGGCGCCAGACUGACGCUGAGGCACGAAAGCGUGGGGAUCGAACAGGAUUAGAUACCCUGGUAGUCCACGCAGUAAACGAUGAAUGCUGGUUGUCCGGGUCGAAUGAGAUCUGG
Molecule: ribosomal RNA, 640 nt
Filed under: uncultured bacterium
Lineage: Bacteria
Description: bacterial SSU rRNA
Rfam family: Bacterial small subunit ribosomal RNA
Source: RNAcentral